RNAcentral lists this transfer RNA (64 nucleotides) under Triatoma dimidiata (kissing bug). RNAcentral describes it as "tRNA-Arg". Lineage: Eukaryota; Metazoa; Arthropoda; Insecta; Hemiptera; Reduviidae. The record is from RNAcentral.
AAGUAGUGAAGUAAUAAUUACAGUUAGUUUCGACCUAAAAAUCAGAGAAAGCUCUCCUUACUUA